GUGUUUGCUUUGGCAGCACAUAUACUAAAAGUGGAACAACACUGAGAAGAUUAGCAUGGCCCCCACACAAGGAUGACACAAAGAUUUGUGAAGUGUUCCAUAUUCUU
Non-coding RNA from Erinaceus europaeus (western European hedgehog), 107 nucleotides. The record is from Rfam. Lineage: Eukaryota; Metazoa; Chordata; Mammalia; Eulipotyphla; Erinaceidae.